CCUUAGGGUACAGAAGCCAAACAAAUGAAUCUUCUUUAAUGGUACUUCUGAUAACACUCUUGUGUGUGUGUGUGUGUGUGUGUGUGUGUGUGUGUGUGUUGUUGUUGAACUAUUUGGUAGCCCUGAAGACACUGAUGUUGAGAAAUGUGUUUCUUUUACUGUUGAAGGAGUAAUGGUUAGAGUACCUGCAGAGGUAGAUUUCAAAUCUCAUCCCCACAAGUGUUGAUUCCCUGGAUGAUGGUUUCAAGGGUUAGGCUAGAAGCACGAUCAUUGGUCUGUUUCUUGAAGCGAUGCCCUAGCUAAGCAGCUAAACACUAAGAUAAUAGGCAUACUGGAUUCUAGUAUCUAUAUUUCCAAUGUAUAUGUAGUAAUGAUGAAUAAUUCAUAGACUAUCUAAGAGCCAGUGGUAGAGAACAUUGUAUGAGGGGUCAUAAAUAUACCUGAGAUUUCAAGAUUAAUUGUGUUUAGUAUAAAGGUAAGUAGAUUUGUAAUGCCCAAGAAAACUUGGACUAAGUGAUAAAUGUGUUCUAACUCAAGAACCUGUAAUUUUAAAGUAAGUUAACAACACUUCACUGUACUGGAUAUCAAAAUUUUGCCUAACUGUGAACAUUUGGUAGAUGUAGAAAACAGUAGGUUUGAGGGCCCUGGUUCUGGGUACAAGAUAGGACAAGAAGAUAUGAGGUAAUACUAACAUCAUUUUCUCUGCCCUAAGUAUUGUCAGGAUUCUUCUUAAAACUUUUGAUCUUUUUAUUCCUAGAAAUAAUAUGUGUGGAUGCCAGGUAUCUCCUAUCUAAUAGGUAAUAUUAAUUGAUAUAGACAAAAAUAACCUUUGCUCUAGGACUUGUACUCAUUAAUUCUUCUUUUUAUAUCUUUGUGAUUUCUUGCAUCCUAUACUCUGUCUUUAUGGAAAGAUCUGCCUUUGAUUUAUCUCUGUAUUGAACACUUGCUUGACUUUAAUAUGAUAUCUGAUUGCCUGAGUUCAUGUACCAUCAACAUUCUUAUCCGGCCAUGAAGAGAUAACUUGCUCCACAAAAAGCCAUCAACAUAAAUCAAAUUAGGGGCAGGAAUGAAAUGUACUUUGAAGUGAGGGAAGGUAGUUCAGGGAGCAUUGAAAAUAGAUGCUUCUCUUGAAUAAAGCUAGGAUGGGCUUGACA
RNAcentral lists this long non-coding RNA (1154 nucleotides) under Monodelphis domestica (gray short-tailed opossum). RNAcentral's name for it is "lncRNA (ENSMODG00000048745.1)". The record is from RNAcentral. Lineage: Eukaryota; Metazoa; Chordata; Mammalia; Didelphimorphia; Didelphidae.